GGAGGCUUCGCCUAGUGGCCUAUGGCGCCGCACUGCUAAUGCGGUUGGGGCUCAAACCCCUCCCGGGUUCAAAUCCCGGAGCCUCCG
RNAcentral lists this transfer RNA (87 nucleotides) under Geodermatophilaceae bacterium. Its description in RNAcentral is "tRNA-Ser". It matches the Rfam family "tRNA". Rfam says of the family: Transfer RNA (tRNA) molecules are approximately 80 nucleotides in length. Their secondary structure includes four short double-helical elements and three loops (D, anti-codon, and T loops). Lineage: Bacteria; Bacillati; Actinomycetota; Actinomycetes; Geodermatophilales; Geodermatophilaceae. The record is from RNAcentral.